UGGUGCUGUACACUCUAAAAGUACUGGACUCCAGCCUGAGACUAGAGAUUAGUGCUCAACAGUAUAGUCUUCCUUCUUCUGCUUGGAGAGAGAGAGAGAGGGAGGGAGAGAGAGAGGGAGUGCAACUUGGUGGUCAAACCCACCACCGCACCUCUUCCUUUUAUCUGCAGUUCAAGGCUAGUUCUAUAUGUGGCAAACAAAGGGUCUCGCGCUCGUUGUGGAUGUUUGAGAAAGAUCAGAAGGAGACAGCGCGUGCGUGCGUGCUUGUGUGUGUGUGUGUGAGAAAGAGAGAGACAGCGCUUUAUUAUCCAAUUCAGCUAAUAAAUACACACAUAUUCUUCCUGAUCUUUGGAACUCACUUCUCUGAAAAAUCUCCUGCGGAAGGGAGAGAGAAAAGAAGAGAGAGAAGAAAAUCCCACUUUCUUUUACCUUACCCUUCUUUUUUCUCUUUUGUUUAAAUGUAUGUAUAGUUGCGCUUUGCCAGAUUUGUAGAUUAGAGAUAUUCAAUCGCUUUCCCUUCUCUGACUCUCAUGAAGACAGCGACAUAUUCUCUCCCUGAAACUUCUCUUCCGCAGUUUCUGCUUCUUUCCCUCUUAUCUCUCUCAAAUGUUUUUUGUAGUUUAAUUUUUUAACCCCCUUUUCUUUUGUAGGUUAUUGUAUUUUUGUUUGCCCAUAUCGUAUUACUACUAUGAUUUAUGAGCUUUUUGCUUUUUUUGUAUUGUCUUUCUUCUGUUUUUUCCGUUCUCCACACGAGAUUAUGAGAGUUCUGCAGUAAUGAUCACGGUUCAAGCAUUGGCUUUAGGGUUGGUGAAGAAGCAAAGAAGUUCGUACCCAGAAAAGAAGCAAAGAAGCGUCAAUGGAGGUGUCGCGCAGCGUAAGAUUUUAAGGAGACCGACGAAGAGGGUGGUGAUCAGUCUGGAUCUAGACCAUCUGUAACACAUGAGACGAUUCAGAUGACGUCUACCUCCACUGCAAUAUGAAUAUGUGCUUAAGCCUCAAAAGACUACCUGUCCGGGUCGUCCCAAAUGUCAUAGUCAAAGACUCAAAUAGAUUUAUGCCUCUAUCUUUAGAUUCUUAAUUUCUUAGAAUAUUGAAAUUUGAAUCAUUUGUACGUAUUAUGUAUUUGAUUUGUAAUAUUGAUACAAUGUCUCUUGGACAUUUUUAUGUU
This is a long non-coding RNA of Juglans microcarpa x Juglans regia, 1168 nucleotides long. RefSeq lists it as uncharacterized. NCBI's taxonomy places the organism in Eukaryota, Viridiplantae, Streptophyta, Magnoliopsida, Fagales, Juglandaceae. The transcript is spliced from 3 exons. The record is from RefSeq and is a predicted model, not a curated record.